UACAGAGGGGGCAAGCGUUGUUCGGAAUUACUGGGCGUAAAGGGCGCGUAGGCGGCCUGUUAAGUCGAACGUGAAAUCCCCGGGCUCAACCCGGGAACUGCGUCCGAUACUGGCAGGCUUGAAUCCGGGAGAGGAAUGCGGAAUUCCAGGUGUAGCGGUGAAAUGCGUAGAUAUCUGGAGGAACACCGGUGGCGAAGGCGGCAUUCUGGACCGACAUUGACGCUGAGGAGCGAAAGCCAGGGGAGCAAACGGG
This 253-nucleotide ribosomal RNA is filed under the name uncultured bacterium. RNAcentral describes it as "partial 16S ribosomal RNA". It matches the Rfam family "Bacterial small subunit ribosomal RNA", at positions 524 to 776 of the family's 1533-position model. The record is from RNAcentral.